CGUCUCCUCCAUGUCUCCGCUGAUGUGGAUUGACCCGCUCCCCACGAGCGGGUUUUUUUG
RNAcentral lists this non-coding RNA (60 nucleotides) under Candidatus Burkholderia verschuerenii. RNAcentral describes it as "Betaproteobacteria toxic small RNA". It matches the Rfam family "Betaproteobacteria toxic small RNA". From Rfam's summary of the family: Overexpression in amino aid rich medium attenuates growth, suggesting role in repressing amino acid intake and metabolism. Lineage: Bacteria; Pseudomonadati; Pseudomonadota; Betaproteobacteria; Burkholderiales; Burkholderiaceae. The record is from Rfam by way of RNAcentral.